GUGGGGAAUAUUGGACAAUGGGCGAAAGCCUGAUCCAGCCAUGCCGCGUGUGUGAAGAAGGUCUUCGGAUUGUAAAGCACUUUAAGUUGGGAGGAAGGGCAGUAAGUUAAUACCUUGCUGUUUUGACGUUACAGACAGAAUAAGCACCGGCUAACUUCGUGACAGCAGCCGCGGUAAUAAGAAGGGUGCAAGCGUUAAUCGGAAUUACUGGGCGUAAAGCGAGCGUAGGUGGUUUUGUAAGUUGGAGGUGAAAUCCCCGGGCUCAACCUGGGAACUGCCUCCAAAACUGCAUGACUAGAGUACGGUAGAGGGUAGUGGAAUUUCCUGUGUAGCGGUGAAAUGCGUAGAUAUAGGAAGGAACACCAGUGGCGAAGGCGACUACCUGGACUGAUACUGACACUGAGGUGCGAAAGCGUGGGGAGCAAACAGGAUUAGAAACCCGUGUAGUCC
This 450-nucleotide ribosomal RNA is filed under the name uncultured bacterium. Its description in RNAcentral is "bacterial SSU rRNA". It matches the Rfam family "Bacterial small subunit ribosomal RNA", at positions 354 to 796 of the family's 1533-position model. The record is from RNAcentral.